Molecule: RNA transcript, 2405 nt
Organism: Salarias fasciatus (jewelled blenny)
Lineage: Eukaryota; Metazoa; Chordata; Actinopteri; Blenniiformes; Blenniidae
Gene name: probable histone deacetylase 1-B
Exons: 14
Source: RefSeq, a predicted model, not a curated record
CUGGCCGUGGUACAAACUCUCCGCCUCUUGUCGCUGUUGUCUCCUGCGGCGUGUGCGCUGAAAGCCAGCCAAAAAGGACUAAAAAAUGGCGCUCACUUCCCAAGGAACAAAGAAAAAAGUUUGCUACUACUAUGACGGGGAUGUUGGAAACUACUACUAUGGCCAGGGCCAUCCCAUGAAGCCCCACAGGAUCCGCAUGACACACAACCUGUUGCUAAACUAUGGCCUCUACAGAAAGAUGGAGAUCUACCGUCCACACAAAGCCAGCGGAGAGGAGAUGACCAAGUACCACAGCGAUGAUUACAUCAAGUUUCUGCGCUCGAUCCGGCCGGACAACAUGUCAGAAUACAGCAAACAAAUGCAGAGAUUUAAUGUGGGGGAGGAUUGUCCUGUGUUUGAUGGCUUGUUCGAGUUCUGCCAGCUCUCGGCGGGGGGCUCAGUCGCCGGUGCCGUCAAGUUGAACAAACAGCAGACGGACAUUGCCAUCAACUGGGCUGGAGGUCUGCAUCACGCCAAGAAGUCCGAGGCCUCUGGUUUUUGCUACGUGAACGACAUCGUGCUGGCUAUUCUGGAGUUACUGAAAUACCACCAGAGAGUUUUGUACAUAGACAUUGACAUCCAUCAUGGAGACGGUGUGGAGGAGGCUUUCUACACCACCGACCGUGUCAUGACUGUGUCCUUCCACAAAUACGGAGAGUAUUUCCCUGGAACCGGCGACCUCAGGGACAUCGGGGCCGGCAAGGGUAAAUACUACGCUGUGAAUUACCCGCUCAGAGACGGGAUCGACGACGAGUCAUAUGAAGCCAUAUUCAAACCCAUCAUGGCGAAGGUGAUGGAGAUGUACCAGCCCAGUGCCGUGGUUCUGCAGUGUGGGGCCGAUUCCCUGUCAGGAGACAGGCUCGGAUGCUUCAACCUCACCAUUAAAGGACACGCCAAGUGUGUGGAGUACAUGAAGAGCUUCAACCUGCCGCUGCUCAUGCUGGGCGGAGGCGGCUACACCAUCCGCAACGUGGCACGCUGCUGGACAUACGAGACAGCUGUCGCACUCGACAGCUCCAUCCCGAAUGAGCUCCCCUACAAUGACUACUUUGAAUACUUUGGGCCGGACUUCAAGCUGCACAUCAGCCCCUCCAACAUGACCAAUCAGAACACCAAUGACUACCUGGAGAAGAUCAAACAGCGCUUGUUUGAGAACUUGCGCAUGCUGCCUCACGCCCCUGGAGUGCAGAUGCAGGCCAUCCCGGAGGACGCCGUGCAGGAGGACAGCGGAGACGAAGAGGAGGAGGAUCCCAACAAGCGCAUCUCCAUCCGCGCUCAUGACAAGAGGAUAGCGUGCGAGGAGGAGUUCUCCGACUCGGAGGAUGAAGGCGAAGGAGGCCGCAGAAACGCGGCCAGCUUCAAGAAAGCCAAGCGAGCCAAAACCGAAGGAGAGAAGGAGGGUGAAGAAAAGGAGAAGAAAGCUAACUUCCUGUAAUGAAUGUUUUCCCUCCGCCACUUUAAAGAAGUGAAAGAAGAGGAGAAGGUCCCAGAGGAGGAGAAAAUGGACACGUCAAAGCCUAAAGAGGAGUCCAAGACCCCUUGAGUCUUUCAGCACCCAGCGACGCCCAUGCAACAGAUCAGUGAGGACCGUAAAGCAAGAUUAUUUUGGAUAAAUCAUCUUUUCUGGCUGCUGCAGAGGGAAAUCAGUGAAGGACUUUACCUUUUCCAAGCGGGAUUCUCCUCCCCGAAAACAGGGCGGAGAACCAAACCUUUCAGUUCUGUUUUUUUUUUCUUUUUUUUCCUAGGACGCCUUUUCAACCUUGCUGUUGUGGACUGAAGUCAAACUGAAAGUUUUCAAGUAUGAUUUUGUAUAAGUUUUCAAGUUUGUUUUUAUGCUUUUUUUUUUUUUUUUUUUUUUGCUUUUUCUCAUGAACAACUCUGUAAAAAUGGCUUAGCACAGUACAUACACACACACGCACGCACACACACCUGCUUUUAUAUAUCUGAGGAUUUAAUUUAUUUAAAUCAUAGAUAUUUUUGGCUACAGUUUUCAUGUCUUUCUGUCCCACCUUUGUCCCGUGCCUUUAAAUACGUAGUUAAAGCAUGUUGGUACAGUAGAUCCUGUUUCUGUAAUAUAUUUGUGUCGCUGGGCUCGCCUGCUAGGGUCAGUGAUAGGGUUGCAUUCUCCUGAGUAGCUACUACAUGGCACUGCAUUAGCAAUUUCCAUUCUUAUGUUUUUGGUUAUUAUUUAGUACGUGCUCUUUAUCAUUGCUAAAUGUGAGGGGCUCCUGCCUCACAGUAUGUGUUUUUGUGCUGUUAAGUUUGUGUUUCACUGAACUUUGGACCUGAAAGUCCGAUGAAAAGUGAGACAGAUGUCUUAAUAAUUUGUUGUAUAUAUUUGUACUCUUGACAAAAAUCAGUAAAAA